CGGGUUCAAGCGAUUCUCAUGCCUAGGCCUCUCAAGUAGCUGGGACUACAGUUGUGUGCCACCAUGCCCAGCUAAUUUUUUCAUAUUUUUGUUACAGAUGGGGUUUUGCCAUGUUGGCCAGACUGGUCUCGAACUCCUGGCCUCAAGUGAUCUGCCCACCUUGGCCUCCCAAAGUGCUGGGAUUACAGGCCUGAGCUGCUGCACCUGGCCUAACACAUGCUUUUUGGGGAACACAUUCAAACCAUAGCAGGCUAAGUCCCCUCCCCACUAUGUCACAGUAGGAGUAGCCUACCUACUUAGCUGCCUAUGCUUUAUUCCCAGAGCUCAAAUCCAUUUAAAGGAUCUUUAGACCCAUUUCUUAAGAUAUUUUGUGAUUUCUUCCUCACUUAAGGAAAAAUAACAUGAUUUCUUGCUGAAUAUAAAUAUACCUUGGACAGUCAAGAGUCUAAGGUUAAUUUCCAAUUAAGUGUGAAAUCAGCCAGUAGGAGGGUAGUGCUUCUGUCUCCUACAGGACCUACACACCCCCUCACUGAGUACCUUUGAAGUAACUCCCAUAGCACUCAGUGAGGGGGUGGGUUGGUCCUGCAGGAGACAGAAGAGAGAAGCAAUAUCCUGCUGGGAAUUGUAAUAAAUUUACACAUUCUGUCUCUAGGUCCCUUGUUCUUAAACCAUGGAAAUCCACAGUAAUAUGAGGAAUAAGAGCAGAAGUUAUAACCUGUGGACUGAGGCAAAAAUGAAUAUAAUAAUGCUGCUCAAGUUCCUUCCAAAGAGGUUAGAGGCCAAGGUCUGAUUGGCAGUGGCUAGUAAUACACAGGGAGCAAUAGAGGUACUCAGUCUCUAUUAAGUCCUUCUGGAUCUCAAGCCCACAAGGAGACAUAAUUCUGACUCCCACAGGAUGAUAGUAGGGGUGGGAAAGAGGUGAGGGACAGUCAGGACUGAGGUUGUCCAUACUCACAUCCUGAUGGCUCUGGGAACUACAGUAGGAUGGCACCUGCCAGCAUCAUGGGACCUGUAUGAGAGUAGCUGAGGAAGCAGAAGCUGCAGUAAUAAAUCCAAGGCUGACAAGACUAGUGGAAAGUCAGUUCCCACAGGCUU
Molecule: long non-coding RNA, 1095 nt
Filed under: Homo sapiens (human)
Lineage: Eukaryota; Metazoa; Chordata; Mammalia; Primates; Hominidae
Description: HSALNT0283270
Source: RNAcentral